Molecule: ribosomal RNA, 492 nt
Filed under: uncultured bacterium
Lineage: Bacteria
Description: partial 16S ribosomal RNA
Rfam family: Bacterial small subunit ribosomal RNA
Source: RNAcentral
AGUGAACGCUGGCGGCAGGCCUAACACAUGCAAGUCGAACGGCAGCAUAGUGCGUGCUCGCGGAUUCGGGUGGAGAGUGGUGGAUGGUGCCGGGAAAUAUGGGAGGUUACUUUGUAGAGGGUGCUAAAACAGGGAAAAAUACGCCAAACGUGCAUACGACGUAAGUGGGAGAGCAUGGGAUCUUAGGCCCUCGUGUGAGCGUAGGAGCGGAUGUCGGAUUGGCUAGUUAGCGGGGUAAAGGCGCAACAAGGCGACGAUCGGUAACUGGUAUGAGAGGAUGAUUAGCCACACUGUAACUGAGACACGGUCCAGACUCCUACGGGAGGCAGCAGUGGGGAAUAUUGGACAAUGGGCGAAAGCCUGAUCCAGCCAUGCCGCGUGUGUGAAGAAGGCCUUCGGAUUGUAAAGCCCUUUAGGUUGGAAGGAAGAGCAGCAAGUUAAUACCCCGCUGUUCUGACGGUACCCACAGAAUAAGCACCGGCUAACUUCGUG